Molecule: non-coding RNA, 24 nt
Filed under: Rattus norvegicus (Norway rat)
Lineage: Eukaryota; Metazoa; Chordata; Mammalia; Rodentia; Muridae
Source: RNAcentral
CAUGAGCCCUACAGGUCCUCCUGC